Manis javanica (Malayan pangolin) is the source of this 837-nucleotide long non-coding RNA. RefSeq lists it as uncharacterized. Lineage: Eukaryota; Metazoa; Chordata; Mammalia; Pholidota; Manidae. The record is from RefSeq and is a predicted model, not a curated record.
GUGAGAUGCCACCUCACACCUAUCAGGAUGGCAGCGCCAAGAACCAGGAGACAGCUGCUCGUGGCUAUCUUUCCACCUGGCGGGAGCACCUGGGACGUGGUGAGGCAGCCCCCAGAUGGAAGCUCCUGCAAUCAGGACGGCCCGUGACCCGGCCCGGUGGAGGGCGGGCGGGGGGUGUCCCAGCCUGCGGCGUCAGCUCCCUCCAGCACGCGCAGGGCUCGGCCGGGCCCCGGGCCGGUGCCGGGAGGUGGGCUUCCCUCCACGUGCCCUGCAGGGAGGGCCCUGUGCGGGCCCGGAGCCGCUUCUGUGGGUCACACAGAGAGUCUGGCCUGGAGGUGAGCUCCUCAGAUGGCACGCACUCUAUGUAAUUAUUUCCCUUCAUCCUCACUGUGAGGUAGAGAUGGUCUCCGUUUCCACAGAUGAAGACUUGGAGGCUCAGAGCAACGCCCUGGCCAGUGUCACACAUCAGCCGAAAGGCCGGGACUUGAAACGACUGAUUUGACAGCUGGUGAUGUGCGGUGUGAUCGUCUUGUAGUGCUGGGCCGGGCAGCGAGUGCAGCUCCCGUCAGCCAGGUGGUCGCACAGGUGAGCAUCCGAUGCACUCACAACCCACACACAUUGUGCUUUUCACUUUCAGUACAGUAGUCAAUGAAUCACACGACGUGUUCCACACUUCACAGUAAAACAGGCUUUGUGCUACAGCUCCAGGCUAAUGUAAGUUUUCUGAGCAUGUUUAAGGUGGGCUGGGCUAAAGUAUGCUAUUCGGUAGGUUAUGUGUGAUACAUGCAUUUUUAACUUAAUGAUAUGUUUGACUUAUGAUGGAUGAGUUUAUUGCUA